This 1794-nucleotide long non-coding RNA is filed under the name Lactuca sativa (garden lettuce). Its description in RNAcentral is "long non-coding RNA (LSAT_LNC006258)". The record is from RNAcentral. Lineage: Eukaryota; Viridiplantae; Streptophyta; Magnoliopsida; Asterales; Asteraceae.
UCAAAUCCUUUAUCCUUUCUUUUUCUGACUCUCACGCUCUCAACCAUCACUUACUCUCUCCAACCCUAAUUAGCCGUCAGGAACACCAGCUCCAGUCUCACAACAUACCAGGAGCACACCUCGAACCAUUCUAAAGUCAAGACCAUAGCACCAUUGCUUAGACCCACUUGAAACCUAACCUUUGUCUCUCUCUGGCGUUCUCUCUCUCUCUUUUCUGGUCAUCAACUAUCUCGAUCCACUCAUCGAUGACCAUCUCUUUGAAAGAAUAGUGACAUAGUAAGAGUAAGACCAGCACAACACCGCUCCACCACCGCACCUGUUGAAACCCUAACCUCACGACCACGCGACCAUCAUCACUUUUUUGUUUCCCAGGUUCGUAUUGUUGAUUUUUGUUGGAGAAAUGAGUCAUCUAUGUCUUUUUAUACGUUUUUCUGUUGGAUGUGUGGGUAUAGAUGAUAUUCUGGUGGUUUUUGUUCGAUGUUGGUCUGGAGGUUUGUUUAUUUGUUUUCAAAUUUCAUCUGUACUUUUUUACAUAUUCCAUCUAAAACCGUGUCUCUUGAGAAAUUCAAUCUUGAAGAUGAGCUUUUGAGCCAUCUAUGUUUUUUUGUAUAUUGUUGGUUCUCAGCUUUAUUGCUUUUUUUUUUUAUAAUAAAUUUGACAGGUUAUUUUGUACAUAGUGACCAAUACGUCCUUCAAUUAUGAGUUUAUCAUCUUGGAAUCACUUGAUACUUAUUUACACGGUUAGUUUUCUCUAUCUAUUGAACAUAAAUUUAACUUUUGAACAAAUACAUGUGUGUAUAUUUAUGUCACUGAAUGUUAUAUGCAUGAGUCCAGUCAUGGUGGUAAUCUUCUCACUUUCUAUUUCAUUUAUUUCUACAGAAAGUCACUAUUUUUAAUAAUUAUGGGGGUUUUAAGCUACUAUGUAUAUGAGAUUCAUCUAAUAGAUGCAAAAACAAAGUACACGCAAAAGUAAAAUGAAGGGGCAUGCUAUUUUUUUUGUGUUUUUGACACUUCAAACCAUAUCAUAGUUUUAGGUAGACAAUUGGGAAGACACAAAAAGUUGGAAUACCUAUCAGAUAGGCGUUGGCUUUGAUAGUUGCAUUAAAGGAAGUACAUUUGAAUGCUAUGAGAUUGAGGUUUUCACUCCAGUUUGACAUUGUUUGUCCACUCCCUCUCCCUCUUUCUCUCUUUGGUUUAACAAAAAAACAUAUACAUACUGAACUAAGGUAUUAAAAAACCUAAUUAUCUAUGUAUUAUGAUUAUUGUGCAUUUCUUUUUAAUCUUAUAGUCUUUUGAUUGUUGAACUCUCAUUGUUCAGGGCCUACACCGAGGAAUACUAUAAUCAGUUAUGUGGAAUGGAAUAAUCAAUAUGAUGAAGGAAGGGAAGAUAGGGUAUUUUUGUGAUCCUUUUGAUCUUCUGGAUUUGCUGAUCUCUUUUUUGUGGAGUAUGCAGACUGACAUCUCUUCUGAGAACCAUUGAUAUAGAUUGAACAUAAUGGUUAAUUUUUUUCUUUUGGCCCUAAUUGUUUAUCUUUUGUAUAAGAGAUGACAAAUCGUGCUUAUUACAUCUAUUUAGCCACCUCAAUCGCCCAACUCAGGGGAUUGUAGUUACCAUCUAAACAUAAACUAUUUUCAUUGGUGGUGUACCAAAUACACAAUUAUAAUCUGUGAGCUUGGUGUGUGUGUAUCUUUGUCCCAAGGGUAGAAGACAUUUAGGUUGUUUAGUACUUCUGUGUAUGCGGGCAGUUUCUUCCUCUGAGUUUUUAAGUUUUUAUUUGUGGUAUGAUAUAUGGG